This 497-nucleotide ribosomal RNA is filed under the name uncultured bacterium. RNAcentral describes it as "partial 16S ribosomal RNA". It matches the Rfam family "Bacterial small subunit ribosomal RNA", at positions 28 to 507 of the family's 1533-position model. The record is from RNAcentral.
GAUGAACGCUGGCGGCGUGCCUAAUACAUGCAAGUCGAGCGAACAGAUAAGGAUCUUGCUCCUUUGACGUUAGCGGCGGACGGGUGAGUAACACGUGGAUAACCUACCUAUAAGACUGGGAUAACUUCGGGAAACCGGAGCUAAUACCGGAUAACAUAUUGAACCGCAUGGUUCAAUAGUGAAAGGCGGCUUUGCUGUCACUUCUAGAUGGAUCCGCGCCGUAUUAGCUAGUUGGUAAGGUAACGGCUUACCAAGGCAACGAUACGUAGCCGACCUGAGAGGGUGAUCGGCCACACUGGAACUGAGACACGGUCCAGACUCCUACGGGAGGCAGCAGUAGGGAAUCUGCCGCAAUGGGCGAAAGCCUGACGGAGCAACGCCGCGUGAGUGAUGAAGGUCUUCGGAUCGUAAAACUCUGUUAUCAGGGAAGAACAAAUGUGUAAGUAACUGUGCACAUCUUGACGGUACCUGAUCAGAAAGCCACGGCUAACUACGUG